Homo sapiens (human) is the source of this 422-nucleotide long non-coding RNA. RefSeq lists it as uncharacterized. The record is from RefSeq and is a predicted model, not a curated record. Lineage: Eukaryota; Metazoa; Chordata; Mammalia; Primates; Hominidae. The transcript is spliced from 3 exons.
CCACUGCGUGCCACACAGCGUGCUGUGACAGUCACUUGACCCCGGUAUCUCACUGAAUCCUCCUAACAGCCCAAGAGAUAUGCUCCAAUCCACCCCUGGGGGCAGCCAGAUGAGAGCCUGCCAGAAGAAAGGACUCACCACAGGGACUACAGCUGAAAACCUGAAACGUCCUUUGGCAGGAAAGCACAAAUAUCUGGUGAGACAGGAUGAGAACAUGAAACCUCUGCUACGGCCACUGCAAGAAUAUUGGUUAUUACACAGUGUCCACACUGUGAGAACAUUGACUUUGACAUUCUAGAGGAGGGCAGAACCACAUAUAGAAGAAGCCUGGAUCCCUGAAUGACUGCAUGGAUUCAACACAGCACCUAUACACACACCUGCCCUCUGUGCCCCGAUAAUCUACACUAGAGGACGAUGUGAGC